AAUGAACGCUGGCGGCGUGCUUAACACAUGCAAGUCGCACGAGAACGUUCCAGCUUGCUGGAGCAAGUAAAGUGGCGCACGGGUGAGUAACGCGUGGGUAAUCUACCCUUGAAUUUGGGAUAACUCUUCGAAAGGGGAGGUAAUACCGGAUGACAUCACAUUUUUUUCGAGGAGUGUGAUCAAAGAUGGCCUCUCCAUGGAAGCUAUUGUUUGAGGAUGAGCCCGCGUACCAUUAGCUAGUUGGUAGGGUAAAGGCCUACCAAGGCGACGAUGGUUAGCUGGUUUGAGAGGAUGACCAGUCACACUGGAACUGACACACGGUCCAGACUCCUACGGGAGGCAGCAGUGAGGAAUUUUGCGCAAUGGGGGAAACCCUGACGCAGCAACGCCGCGUGAGUGAUGAAGGC
RNAcentral lists this ribosomal RNA (407 nucleotides) under uncultured bacterium. RNAcentral describes it as "bacterial SSU rRNA". It matches the Rfam family "Bacterial small subunit ribosomal RNA", at positions 29 to 415 of the family's 1533-position model. The record is from RNAcentral.